RNAcentral lists this ribosomal RNA (131 nucleotides) under Jaculus jaculus (lesser Egyptian jerboa). Lineage: Eukaryota; Metazoa; Chordata; Mammalia; Rodentia; Dipodidae. The record is from RNAcentral.
GUCUAUGGCCAUACCACCCUGAACACACCCAAUUUUGUCUGAUCUCGGAAGCUAAGCAGGGUCAGGCCUGGUUAGUACUUGGAUGGGAAAAGAAAGAAAUAAAAGGAAGGGGAAAAAAAGCAUUUGUGACU